RNAcentral lists this ribosomal RNA (461 nucleotides) under uncultured bacterium. RNAcentral's name for it is "partial 16S ribosomal RNA". It matches the Rfam family "Bacterial small subunit ribosomal RNA", at positions 338 to 795 of the family's 1533-position model. The record is from RNAcentral.
CCUACGGGUGGCAGCAGUGAGGAAUAUUGGUCAAUGGGCUAGAGCCUGAACCAGCCAAGUCGCGUGAGGGAUGACGGCCCUACGGGUUGUAAACUUCUUUUGUCAGGGAGCAAUUGGGUCCACGCGUGGGCUUAGCGAGAGUACCUGAAGAAAAAGCAUCGGCUAACUCCGUGCCAGCAGCCGCGGUAAUACGGAGGGGGCAAGCGUUAUCCGGAUUUAAUGGGUGUAAAGGGUGCGUAGGCGGCGAUGCAAGUCCGGGGUUAAAGCCCAGGGCUUAACCCUGGUACCGCCCUUGAAACUGGGGAGCUUGAGUGCGCGAGGGGUAGGCGGAAUGCGUAGUGUAGCGGUGAAAUGCGUAGAUAUCAGGCAGAACACCGACGGCGAAGGCGGCCUGCCGGACCCCAACUGACGUUGAGGCACGAAAGCGUGGGGAGCAAACAGGAUUAGAUACCCGGGUAGUC